Molecule: long non-coding RNA, 906 nt
Organism: Physella acuta
Lineage: Eukaryota; Metazoa; Mollusca; Gastropoda; Physidae
Source: RefSeq, a predicted model, not a curated record
AUGACUAGAUGUAGAUUCUACUAAUUCUAAAUUAAAUCGUGUAGUAUAAUCAUACUCAUAGGCCUGCUACUACUGCUAGUUAUAUUUUUGCCAAUCAUUAAAUAACUAAAAACCGAAAAGUAAAACAAGUACAAAAUAUUGAUAGUCUUACUGAAAGCACAAAUUUCCGAUAAUAAUUUAAUUAUAAGUCAUGGCUGACAUCAACAAAACAUCGAAGGUCGGCAACGACAUAGCAGCAACUAAGUUCGAAAAAUUAUUUAUUAGCAAAGCAGAAAGCCUAAACUCCAGAAAAGGGAAGCAGCUUAUUGCAUUAAAAGGAAAAAAUAAACUUGUUGGUCUUGUUUUGACGGGCAGUGUAAUUGGAAUUUAUGCAUAUACAAUGUUGUCAGUAAAGCAAACAAAAUUGAUGGAAGCUUUUGAUAAAGUCCCAGAAUGAAGAAUUUACAAAACAGCGCUGUGAUUGUGAUGCAUGCAUGAGCUAAAAAUGGAGAAAUGAACUUGCAGAAUUACACAAAAUUUCAACCAAGAUUUAUUCUUCUACUGUUCAUUAUUUGCAGUUGAAAUUAGCUUAUAUGUCUACUCAUUUUCUUUAAGAUUUAUUUCUAUAAAACUAUGUUCAUUAUAAAAAGCUAGGCCUACCACAUGUAGUUAUCAAAUUUGUAUUCAAAUUAAGGAUUUAAUGUCCUUUUCUGUUAAUAUUUUUUCAUUAUGCGGUUGAUUUUACAUGUGUUAAAAUGAUAAAAGAAUGUAUGUUGUAAUGCUUAGAAUGACUGAGUGAAUUUAAUGUACAUUAUUUAAAUUAAAAUAAUUUUCUGGUUUCUACUAUGAUCUGACCAGGAUACAAAUGUAUUUGUUUGAGCUGUAAUUGAUUUACUUGAAAUAAAUGUUCUCUUGUCUUUUUUUAAA